GAACGGGCCUAUAGCCUAGUGGUUACAAAGGCCUUAGUAGCACUUGAGGUCCUCGGCUCGACUCCUCGUUGGAGCGAAUUUUCCAAGAUUCUAGCGGCUUUGUGCUUUCAGUGGAACUGAAACAAACAUUAAUCUUAAUCAUGAGAUAUAUCAACAUAUGUCGUGGGGUCAGAUCAAUCAGAGGAUAUACCUUUGGUGUGUCGGUCAGAUAGGAUGGAAAGGUAAAAAUACUUGUACAUGCUAUUUAAUUCUUCAUUCAUCUUUUGGAUGUAUGGACUUGAUUCCUUUACUUCUACGGUCUAGGGUUUAAUCUACAGUGAUCUUUAACGUCAUGUACAUGGACUUUCCAGAUAAAAGUGAGCUUUAGAUUAAUAUACAAUGGUCUUUAAUGUUAUAUACAUGGGCUUUUCAGGUAAAAAUAGG
This 423-nucleotide long non-coding RNA is filed under the name Oryza brachyantha (malo sina). RNAcentral's name for it is "long non-coding RNA (OBRA_LNC000097)". The record is from RNAcentral. Lineage: Eukaryota; Viridiplantae; Streptophyta; Magnoliopsida; Poales; Poaceae.